RNAcentral lists this ribosomal RNA (698 nucleotides) under uncultured cyanobacterium. RNAcentral describes it as "bacterial SSU rRNA". It matches the Rfam family "Bacterial small subunit ribosomal RNA", at positions 66 to 804 of the family's 1533-position model. The record is from RNAcentral. Lineage: Bacteria; Bacillati; Cyanobacteriota.
ACGCAACCUUUCGGGGUUGAGUGGCGGACGGGUGAGUAACGCGUGAGAAUCUGCCUUUAGGUCCGGGACAACCACUGGAAACGGUGGCUAAUACCGGAUGUGCCGCAACGUGAAAGGGGAAACCCGCCUGAAGAUGAGCUCGCGUCUGAUUAGCUAGUUGGUGAGGUAAAGGCUCACCAAGGCGACGAUCAGUAGCUGGUCUGAGAGGAUGACCAGCCACACUGGGACUGAGACACGGCCCAGACUCCUACGGGAGGCAGCAGUGGGGAAUUUUCCGCAAUGGGCGAAAGCCUGACGGAGCAAGACCGCGUGAGGGAAGAAGGCUCUUGGGUCGUAAACCUCUUUUGUCAGGGAAGAACACAAUGACGGUACCUGACGAAUCAGCCUCGGCUAACUCCGUGCCAGCAGCCGCGGUAAUACGGAGGAGGCAAGCGUUAUCCGGAAUUAUUGGGCGUAAAGCGUCCGUAGGUGGCUAGUCAAGUCUGCGGUCAAAGACUGGGGCUUAACCCUGGAAAGGCCGUGGAAACUGACGAGCUAGAGUGCAGUAGGGGUAGAGGGAAUUCCCGGUGUAGCGGUGAAAUGCGUAGAGCUCGGGAAGAACAUCGGUGGCGAAAGCGCUCUACUGGACUGCAACUGACACUCAGGGACGAAAGCUAGGGGAGCGAAUGGGAUUAGAUACCCCAGUAGUCCUAGCCGUA